This 240-nucleotide unclassified non-coding RNA is filed under the name soil metagenome. Its description in RNAcentral is "partial contains 5.8S ribosomal RNA, internal transcribed spacer 2, and large subunit ribosomal RNA". The record is from RNAcentral.
AACCUAGCACACCUGCGGUGUGUACCUGCGGAGGGAUCAUUAAAGAAUUUUUGCCCGCGGACCUUGGAGUCCAAGGCGCAAAACCCACACUGUGUGCACUGUUAUCGUUCUUUUGGCAGGGGCUUGUGGUAUCUUCCAACUUGGGGAACCUCAACUUCUCGUCUAGCUCUAUCCACCUCGGACAGCUGGACAUGAGAGGCAGUUACCCUGCCAAGUGACCCCUAAAAACACGCUUUUUGU